Ailuropoda melanoleuca (giant panda) is the source of this 104-nucleotide small nuclear RNA. Lineage: Eukaryota; Metazoa; Chordata; Mammalia; Carnivora; Ursidae. The record is from Ensembl.
GUGUUCACUUCAGCAGCACAUAUACUUAAAAAUUGUUGGCAUGAUACAGAGAAGAUUAGCAUGGCCCCUGCAAAAGGAGGACAUGAAAAAUGAAAUGUGUGCAU